RNAcentral lists this long non-coding RNA (233 nucleotides) under Prunus persica (peach). RNAcentral describes it as "long non-coding RNA (PPER_LNC005008)". The record is from RNAcentral. Lineage: Eukaryota; Viridiplantae; Streptophyta; Magnoliopsida; Rosales; Rosaceae.
GAAGAAGUGGAAGGGGAGAGAGAAGACUAUUGGUAUGUAGUAUGCAUUGGUGAUAUAAGUUCCCAAAUGCAAGUCUUUAUAUAUAAUUUCUUAUCAGGCAACGGCCUCUUUCAGUUUGUUUGUUCCAAUGAAUUAUAGAUUUCAUCUAUCAUUUCUCAUUUAUCCUCUCUCCUCUUUCCUCUCUAUGUUGGGCAUUGGCUUGGGCAUGAAGGAGUUUCCUACUUGGGUUUCAC